GGCCUAACACAUGCAAGUCGAACGGUAGCACAGAGAGCUUGCUCUCGGGUGACGAGUGGCGGACGGGUGAGUAAUGUCUGGGAAACUGCCUGAUGGAGGGGGAUAACUACUGGAAACGGUAGCUAAUACCGCAUAAUGUCGCAAGACCAAAGAGGGGGACCUUCGGGCCUCUUGCCAUCGGAUGUGCCCAGAUGGGAUUAGCUAGUAGGUGGGGUAAUGGCUCACCUAGGCGACGAUCCCUAGCUGGUCUGAGAGGAUGACCAGCCACACUGGAACUGAGACACGGUCCAGACUCCUACGGGAGGCAGCAGUGGGGAAUAUUGCACAAUGGGCGCAAGCCUGAUGCAGCCAUGCCGCGUGUAUGAAGAAGGCCUUCGGGUUGUAAAGUACUUUCAGCGAGGAGGAAGGUGUUGUGGUUAAUAACCACAGCGAUUGACGUUACUCGCAGAAGAAGCACCGGCUAACUCCGUGCCAGCAGCCGCGGUA
This 486-nucleotide ribosomal RNA is filed under the name Citrobacter freundii. Its description in RNAcentral is "bacterial SSU rRNA". It matches the Rfam family "Bacterial small subunit ribosomal RNA", at positions 45 to 522 of the family's 1533-position model. The record is from RNAcentral. Lineage: Bacteria; Pseudomonadati; Pseudomonadota; Gammaproteobacteria; Enterobacterales; Enterobacteriaceae.